AUCUACAAGCAUACCAGCCUGAACGCGCCCAAUCUCGUUUGGUCUCUGAAGUUAGGCACCGUCUGGCCUCUGGAGCAAAACACCACAGAAACCUUGUGAACA
Molecule: ribosomal RNA, 102 nt
Filed under: Saimiri boliviensis boliviensis (Bolivian squirrel monkey)
Lineage: Eukaryota; Metazoa; Chordata; Mammalia; Primates; Cebidae
Source: RNAcentral